RNAcentral lists this long non-coding RNA (716 nucleotides) under Salmo salar (Atlantic salmon). Its description in RNAcentral is "lncRNA (ENSSSAG00000094919.1, ENSSSAG00000116659.1)". Lineage: Eukaryota; Metazoa; Chordata; Actinopteri; Salmoniformes; Salmonidae. The record is from RNAcentral.
CGCGGGCUUUGGCCACUGACCCUUAUUAACCUGGUUGUUCUGUUCUGCGUUGUGUACUAUUCUAAUAACUUGAAGUUUGAUGGAAUAACCUUUUUAACUCUCCUACAGUAUAUGUAAAGACAAGAUAAAAUCAAUAAUAGUGUGAUAUUAGCAUAUCACUUAUGAAUUAUAUAUUAUCACUUGUGAAUGAUGCCCAGUUUAAGGCAAACUUCACAUGCUGUUUUUUGCGACUUUAUCGAACAAAACGCCGAUAUAUUUUGAUAAGGAUAGAGGAGCCCUUGCCCUGCCUGAAAGAAUCCCUGCGGAACUCGACGCUGGACUUGGCCAGUGGAUAUUGGUAGGUCCGGGUGGAUCCGAGAGACCAAGAGAAGACAGCCUUCACCACGCCUCUUGAUCUCUAUAAGAUCGAACGGAUGCCCGUCGCUCUGUGUAAUGCCCCUGCCACAUUCCAGCAUCUGAUGCAGCCGUGCCUCUGGCAAUAGGUAAACGAUUUCUUCAGCUGGUACCUUCAAUAUCUUAGCUCUAUGCACCAUGUCAUAAAAAUGUCCAUGCAUGGUCUGAGCUACAGUGCCAGUCAAAAGUUUGGACACACCUACUCACUCAUUCAUUUUCUUUGUUUUUACUAUUUUUCUACUUUGUUGAAUAAUAGUGAAGACAUCAAAACUAUGAAAUAACACAUAUGGAAUAAUGUAGUAACCAAAAAAGUGUUAAACAAA